RNAcentral lists this ribosomal RNA (301 nucleotides) under uncultured bacterium. Its description in RNAcentral is "partial 16S ribosomal RNA". It matches the Rfam family "Bacterial small subunit ribosomal RNA", at positions 509 to 807 of the family's 1533-position model. The record is from RNAcentral.
CAGUCGCCGCGGGAAUACGAAGGGUGCAAGCGUUAAUCGGAAUGACUGGGCGUAAAGGGCGCGUAGGCGGCUUGGUAAGUUAGAGGUGAAAGCCCAGGGCUCAACCCUGGAAUUGCCUUUAAGACUGCCGAGCUAGUAGGUGAGAGAGGUGAGUGGAAUUCCGAGUGUAGAGGUGAAAUUCGUAGAUAUUCGGAAGGAACACCUGUGGCGAAAGCGGCUCACUGACCAUUUCUGACGCUGAUGCACGAAAGCUAGGGGAGCAAACAGGAUUAGAUACCCCCGUAGUCCCUGUCUCUUAUAC